Molecule: ribosomal RNA, 251 nt
Filed under: uncultured Oscillospiraceae bacterium
Lineage: Bacteria; Bacillati; Bacillota; Clostridia; Eubacteriales; Oscillospiraceae
Description: partial 16S ribosomal RNA
Rfam family: Bacterial small subunit ribosomal RNA
Source: RNAcentral
GGUUAGUGGCGGACUGGUGAGUAACGCGUAAGGAACCUGCCUAUUAGAGGGGAAUAACAGUGAGAAAUCAUUGCUAAUACCGCAUAUGCCAUAGAUAUCACAUGAUAACAGUGGGAAAGGAGCAAUCCGCUAAUAGAUGGCCUUGCGUCUGAUUAGAUAGUUGGUGGGGUAACGGCCUACCAAGUCGACGAUCAGUAGCCGGACUGAGAGGUUGAACGGCCACAUUGGGACUGAGAUACGGCCCAGACUCC